AGUCUGGUCUUGUGGGGUUUAGGGGCUGGAAAUGGGGAAGAGCUAGAGCACAGCAUUUAGGAUUGAGUUUUAUACUAUUCGGUACUCCAAUUAUGAAAACAACGAUGAUGAUGCUUCUGACCUGCCCUGUUGGGCUGUUUCUUCCCCAUCCUUUUGGUGAGUAGCUGUGCUGUGUCAUUCUCAUGCUCCCCUGUCCUUCUGGUGAUGACGAGGCCCAUGUUGGAACCUACAGAAGUGAGAAGUGAAGACUGUGACCCUGGAGGGUGUUGCACUGGGAAAACUAGCUGGUAUAUUGGGAAUGUGAGCUAUGAGUUUAUCUGAAUUUUAACCAUGUUCUCACUAACUUAUCUGGUCCUGAGGGUCACCAAGCUAACAGGCUGGGUCAACCAUCAGCAGAGCCAGCUUCCUGAGCAUGUGAUCUACGAAGUCACACAGGCUCUGCACUUAAAAAUAAAAAGCCCUCCCCCUGGUUUAAGUUCUGCUACCAUCAUCUGGAAAUUUCUUAAGACCUUUUAAACAAAGGGUCCACAUUUUCUUUUUGCACUGGCCCUUGCAAACCAUGUAGCCAGUCCUGACUGUAAGAUCAGAUCUUCAAACAGUCCUAAUACAGUCGAUUGUGAAGAUAGUUUAGCUUUUAGGCUUCCCCAGCAGUAUUACAAUUUCCAGAGGAUUAAAGGAAGCACCUGAGGCAGUGAGAAGGAACACCUGCUGAAUCCUGAGAUCUAUCUACAGUACAGGAGCCAGGCUCAUUGAUUCUGUCGAAAGGCAAAGUGUGAUGCAGCCUUGAACAUGCCCAUCCCAGCAGUGCUAGGGUGCUCAGAGAAGAGGGUGAUUGGCAGUGGCAGAUGCAGCUGUGCGGUCAAGGAGGAGAAGCAUAAAGAGGCUUUUUAAUAUGCCCUCAAAGAAGUAAUUGGAGACCUGGAGAAACUGUAGAAGAGAAGAGUACAAGCUGGCUGGAAUCCAGAGGAGAAUUCCACAAGUGGAAUUGGAGAUAGCAAGAAAGAGACCAUGUUAGAGGAAUUUAGAGUGGGUGAGAGUUGGUGAGGGCUGAAUAUUUGUGGAUGGGUAGCCUGUACCUGUCUGAAGGUCACUGGAAGGCAGUGAGGGCAGAGGGAAAAAGUGAUGAAGGAGUAGGGAAGAAGAACAUAGUCUGGAAAACUGACGCUGCAAAGGAGAAGUUAGAGAGGGAGUAGAUAUUACAAAGGAUCCAGCAUGUAUCUGAGAGUCUCCAUAUCCUCACCUCUCAAUUGGUAAGACUCUGAGCAGCAAAGGAGUGCGACUGAAGGAAGGCUGCUUCUGCAAAUCUAGUCUGGAAACAUCUGCAGCAAAAUCACAUAUGGUGCUUAUUACAAAUGUAUUUUCUAGAUCCCAUCCUGGACCUUCACUAUCAGGUCCCUUGAGGACUUGGAGUUGGGAGGGCAAGAAUCAGGCUUUUAAACAAGAGUUUCAAAUAAAUCCUGAUGAAAUUCAACCUUUAAAAGAAAGACGACGGAGGAAUACAGCUAAGGCAGAUUUUGGAGGCCUGACCAUAUGGCACAGUGAUGCUGAGGCUGAGUGAAGAAGGAAGAGGUGUAAGCACAGGUAGCCCAGGCCUGCUAGUAUGGAGGCCAGCCUAGCCUGAGAUAACAGCAAUGUCC
Molecule: long non-coding RNA, 1637 nt
Filed under: Homo sapiens (human)
Lineage: Eukaryota; Metazoa; Chordata; Mammalia; Primates; Hominidae
Description: non-protein coding lnc-ANKRD1-1:3
Source: RNAcentral